UUGAACGCUGGCGGCAGGCCUAACACAUGCAAGUCGAACGGUAACAGGAAACAGCUUGCUGUUUCGCUGACGAGUGGCGGACGGGUGAGUAAUGUCUGGGAAACCGCCUGAUGGAGGGGGAUAACUACUGGAAACGGUAGCUAAUACCGCAUAACGUCGCAAGACCAAAGAGGGGGACCUUCGGGCCUCUUGCCAUCGGAUGUGCCCAGAUGGGAUUAGCUUGUUGGUGGGGUAACGGCUCACCAAGGCGACGAUCCCUAGCUGGUCUGAGAGGAUGACCAGCCACACUGGAACUGAGACACGGUCCAGACUCCUACGGGAGGCAGCAGUGGGGAAUAUUGCACAAUGGGCGCAAGCCUGAUGCAGCCAUGCCGCGUGUAUGAAGAAGGCCUUCGGGUUGUAAAGUACUUUCAGCGGGGAGGAAGGGAGUAAAGUUAAUACCUUUGCUCAUUGACGUUACCCGCAGAAGAAGCACCGGCUAACUCCGUG
RNAcentral lists this ribosomal RNA (489 nucleotides) under uncultured bacterium. Its description in RNAcentral is "partial 16S ribosomal RNA". It matches the Rfam family "Bacterial small subunit ribosomal RNA", at positions 30 to 507 of the family's 1533-position model. The record is from RNAcentral.